GUGGCCCGGCAAGUCUGCUGUCAAAGACCACAGCUCAACUGUGGAAAGGCAGUGGAAACUGCAAGGCUAGAGUGCGGUAGGGGUAGAGGGAAUUCCCAGUGUAGCGGUGAAAUGCGUAGAGAUUGGGAAGAACACCGGUGGCGAAAGCGCUCUACUGGGCCGCAACUGACACUGAUGGACGAAAGCUAGGGGAGCGAAUGGGAUUAGAUACCCCAGUAGUCCUAGCUGUAAACGAUGGAAACUAGGUGUAGCACGUAUCGACCCGUGCUGUAUCGGAGCUAACGCGUUAAGUUUCCCGCCUGGGGAGUACGCACGCAAGUGUGAAACUCAAAGGAAUUGACGGGGGCCCGCACAAGCGGUGGAGUAUGUGGUUUAAUUCGAUGCAACGCGAAGAACCUUACCAGGGCUUGACAUGUCCGGAACCUCUGUGAAAGCAGAGGGUGCCUUCGGGAGCCGGAACACAGGUGGUGGAGGGGGGGGGGCCCCUCGCGUCGUGAGAUGUUGGGUUAAGUCCCGCAACGAGCGCAACCCUCGUCCUUAGUUGCCAGCAUUUUGUAUGGGCACUCUAGGUAGACUGCCGGCGACAAACCCGAGGGGGGGGGGGGGGACGGCACGUAACCCUGCCCCUUUCGCGGGGGGGGACCCCCGUUCUACAGUGGUGGGGAAAAAAAGCGCCCCACCCCCGAGGGCGAGCUAAUCUCAUAAACCACGGCUCAGUUCAGAUCGCAGGCUGCAACUCGCCUGCGUGAAGGCGGAAUCGCUAGUAAUCGCCGGUCAGCAUACGGCGGUGAAUCCGUUCCCGGGCCUUGUACACACCGCCCGUCACACCAUGGGAGCUGGCCACGCCCGAAGUCGUUACUCCAACCGUUCGCGGAGGAGGAC
Molecule: ribosomal RNA, 882 nt
Filed under: Desertifilum sp.
Lineage: Bacteria; Bacillati; Cyanobacteriota; Cyanophyceae; Desertifilales; Desertifilaceae
Description: partial 16S ribosomal RNA
Rfam family: Bacterial small subunit ribosomal RNA
Source: RNAcentral